GAUGAAGAACGUAGUGAAAUGCGAUAAGUAAUGUGAAUUGCAGAAUUCAGUGAAUCAUCGAAUCUUUGAACGCACAUUGCGCCCCCUGGUAUUCCGGGGGGCAUGCCUGUUCGAGCGUCAUUUCACCACUCAAGCCUCGCUUGGUAUUGGGCAACGCGGUCCGCCGCGUGCCUCAAAUCGACCGGCUGGGUCUUCUGUCCCCUAAGCGUUGUGGAAACUUUCGCUAAAGGGUGUUCGGGAGGCUACGCCGUAAAACAACCCCAUUUCUAAGGUUGACCUUGGAUCAGGUAGGGAUACCCGCUGAACUUAAGCAUAUCAAUAAGCGGAGGA
This 330-nucleotide unclassified non-coding RNA is filed under the name soil metagenome. RNAcentral describes it as "partial contains 5.8S ribosomal RNA, internal transcribed spacer 2, and large subunit ribosomal RNA". The stretch from base 1 to 120 matches the Rfam family "5.8S ribosomal RNA", at positions 35 to 154 of the family's 154-position model. The record is from RNAcentral.